RNAcentral lists this ribosomal RNA (829 nucleotides) under Cytospora sp. RNAcentral describes it as "partial large subunit ribosomal RNA". It matches the Rfam family "Eukaryotic large subunit ribosomal RNA", at positions 71 to 930 of the family's 3401-position model. Lineage: Eukaryota; Fungi; Ascomycota; Sordariomycetes; Diaporthales; Cytosporaceae. The record is from RNAcentral.
GGGAUUGCCCUAGUAACGGCGAGUGAAGCGGCAACAGCUCAAAUUUGAAAGCUGGCUCCGGCCCGCGUUGUAAUUUGCAGAGGAUGCUUCUGGCGAGGUGCCUUCCGAGUUCCCUGGAACGGGACGCCAUAGAGGGUGAGAGCCCCGUAUGGAUGGACACCAAACCUGUGUGAAGCUCCUUCAACGAGUCGAGUAGUUUGGGAAUGCUGCUCUAAAUGGGAGGUAAAUCUCUUCUAAAGCUAAAUACCGGCCAGAGACCGAUAGCGCACAAGUAGAGUGAUCGAAAGAUGAAAAGCACCUUGAAAAGGGGGUUAAACAGUACGUGAAAUUGUUGAAAGGGAAGCGCUUGUGACCAGACUUGCGCCGGGCAGCUCAUCAGGGGUUCUCCCCUGUGCACUCUGCCCGGCUCAGGCCAGCAUCGGUUCUCGUGGGAGGAUAAGAACGGUAGGAACGUGGCCCCCCUCCGGGGGGGUGUUAUAGCCUGCCGUACGAUACUCCCGUGGGGACCGAGGUUCGCGCUCCGCAAGGAUGCUGGCGUAAUGGUCAUCAGCGACCCGUCUUGAAACACGGACCAAGGAGUCGUCCAUUAGAGCGAGCGUUUGGGUGUAAAACCCGCACGCGUAAUGAAAGUGAACGCAGGUGAGAGCUUCGGCGCAUCAUCGACCGAUCCUGAUGUCUUCGGAUGGAUUUGAGUAAGAGUUUUAACGGACGGACCCGAAAGACAGUGAACUAUGCUUGUAUAGGGUGAAGCCAGAGGAAACUCUGGUGGAGGCUCGCAGCGGUUCUGACGUGCAAAUCGAUCGUCAAAUAUGAGCAUGGGGGCGAAAGA